GAUGAACGCUAGCGGCAGGCUUAACACAUGCAAGUCGAGGGGUAGAAGGAGCUUGCUCCUUUGAGACCGGCGCACGGGUGCGUAACGCGUAUGCAAUCUACCUUUUGCAGAGGGAUAGCCCAGAGAAAUUUGGAUUAAUACCUCAUAGUAUGUGAGGAUGGCAUCAUUUUCACAUUAAAGUCACAACGGCAAAAGAUGAGCAUGCGUCCCAUUAGCUAGUUGGUAAGGUAACGGCUUACCAAGGCUACGAUGGGUAGGGGUCCUGAGAGGGAGAUCCCCCACACUGGUACUGAGACACGGACCAGACUCCUACGGGAGGCAGCAGUGAGGAAUAUUGGACAAUGGGCGCAAGCCUGAUCCAGCCAUGCCGCGUGCAGGAUGACGGUCCUAUGGAUUGUAAACUAGCUUUUGUUACAGGAAGAAAC
Molecule: ribosomal RNA, 425 nt
Filed under: uncultured bacterium
Lineage: Bacteria
Description: bacterial SSU rRNA
Rfam family: Bacterial small subunit ribosomal RNA
Source: RNAcentral